This 605-nucleotide ribosomal RNA is filed under the name uncultured bacterium. RNAcentral's name for it is "bacterial SSU rRNA". The stretch from base 1 to 520 matches the Rfam family "Bacterial small subunit ribosomal RNA", at positions 338 to 873 of the family's 1533-position model. The record is from RNAcentral.
CCUACGGGAGGCAGCAGUGAGGAAUUUUCCGCAAUGGGCGAAAGCCUGACGGAGCAAUGCCGCGUGGAGGAGGAAGGCCUGUGGGUCGUAAACUCCUUUUCUCAGAGAAGAAGUUCUGACGGUAUCUGAGGAAUAAGCAUCGGCUAACUCUGUGCCAGCAGCCGCGGUAAUACAGGGGAUGCAAGCGUUAUCCGGAAUUAUUGGGCGUAAAGCGUCCUGAGGUGGCUUACCCAGUCGACUGUGAAAGCUCAAGGCUUAACCUUGAAACGGCAGUCGAAACUUGUAAGCUUGAGUACGGUAGGGGCAGAGGGAAUUCCCGGAGGAGAGGUGAAAUUCGUAGAUAUCGGGAGGAAGGCCAAAGGCGAAAGCACUCUGCUGGGCCGAUUACUGACACUGACAGACGAAAGCUAGGGGAGCGAAAGGGAUUAGAUACCCCUGUAGUCCUAGCCGUAAACGAUGGAUACUAAGUGUUGCGCGACUCAAAACGUGCAGUGCUGCAGCUACGACGUAGUACUCCGCCGUCGGUAGUAGUGCCGCCGACGGUAGGAACGUACGAAGAAGUAGUAGACGAGUAGAGAGCGACGACGACGACGACGGAGGAGGAG